Molecule: unclassified non-coding RNA, 211 nt
Filed under: Hevea brasiliensis (rubber tree)
Lineage: Eukaryota; Viridiplantae; Streptophyta; Magnoliopsida; Malpighiales; Euphorbiaceae
Source: RNAcentral
GAGAAGCGAAAAACUCCAUCUCAGCGAGAUAGCAACCAUGAUUUCUCAGUUCUUUGUGCUUUCUCAGAGAGGCGACAGCAUCGUCUUCCGCGACUAUCGGGGUGAUGUACCAAAAGGAAGUGCAGAGAUCUUCUUCCGGAAAGUGAAGUUUUGGAAAGAAGAUGGCGGAGAGGAAGCACCUCCUGUAUUUAAUGUGGAUGGUGUGAACUAC